RNAcentral lists this ribosomal RNA (468 nucleotides) under uncultured bacterium. RNAcentral's name for it is "partial 16S ribosomal RNA". It matches the Rfam family "Bacterial small subunit ribosomal RNA", at positions 28 to 507 of the family's 1533-position model. The record is from RNAcentral.
GACGAACGCUGGCGGCGUGCUUAACACAUGCAAGUCGAACGGAAAGGCCCUGCUUUUGUGGGGUGCUCGAGUGGCGAACGGGUGAGUAACACGUGAGUAACCUGCCCUUGACUUUGGGAUAACUUCAGGAAACUGGGGCUAAUACCGGAUAGGAGCUCCUGCUGCAUGGUGGGGGUUGGAAAGUUUCGGCGGUUGGGGAUGGACUCGCGGCUUAUCAGCUUGUUGGUGGGGUAGUGGCUUACCAAGGCUUUGACGGGUAGCCGGCCUGAGAGGGUGACCGGCCACAUUGGGACUAAGAUACGGCCCAGACUCCUACGGGAGGCAGCAGUGGGGAAUAUUGCGCAAUGGGCGGAAGCCUGAUGCAGCAGCGCCGCGUGCGGGAUGACGGCCUUCGGGUUGUAAACCGCUUUCGCCUGUGACGAAGCGUGAGUGACGGUAAUGGGUAAAGAAGCACCGGCUAACUACGUG